This 178-nucleotide microRNA precursor is filed under the name Oryza sativa Indica Group (long-grained rice). RNAcentral's name for it is "MIR812 microRNA precursor family". It matches the Rfam family "MIR812 microRNA precursor family". Lineage: Eukaryota; Viridiplantae; Streptophyta; Magnoliopsida; Poales; Poaceae. The record is from Rfam by way of RNAcentral.
AAAAAGACAAACACUGGAUUUCCAUGUCAAACGUUUGACUGUCCGUCUUAUAUAAUUUUUUUUAUAAUUAGUAUUUUCAUUGUUAUUAGAUGAUAAAACAUGAUUAAUACUUUAUGCAUGACUUGUCUUUUAAUUUUUUUUAAAUAAGACGGACGGUCAAACGUUGGACAUGGNNNNN